This 253-nucleotide ribosomal RNA is filed under the name uncultured bacterium. RNAcentral describes it as "partial 16S ribosomal RNA". It matches the Rfam family "Bacterial small subunit ribosomal RNA", at positions 524 to 776 of the family's 1533-position model. The record is from RNAcentral.
UACGUAGGGUGCGAGCGUUGUCCGGAAUUAUUGGGCGUAAAGAGCUCGUAGGCGGUUUGUUGCGUCGGCCGUGAAAACCUGCAGCUUAACUGUGGGCCUGCGGCCGAUACGGGCAGGCUAGAGUUCGGUAGGGGAGACUGGAAUUCCUGGUGUAGCGGUGAAAUGCGCAGAUAUCAGGAGGAACACCGGUGGCGAAGGCGGGUCUCUGGGCCGAUACUGACGCUGAGGAGCGAAAGCGUGGGGAGCGAACAGG